AGAGUUUGAUCCUGGCUCAGAUUGAACGCUGGCGGCAGGCCUAACACAUGCAAGUCGAGCGGUAGCACAGAGAGCUUGCUCUCGGGUGACGAGCGGCGGACGGGUGAGUAAUGUCUGGGAAACUGCCUGAUGGAGGGGGAUAACUACUGGAAACGGUAGCUAAUACCGCAUAACGUCGCAAGACCAAAGUGGGGGACCUUCGGGCCUCAUGCCAUCAGAUGUGCCCAGAUGGGAUUAGCUAGUAGGUGGGGUAACGGCUCACCUAGGCGACGAUCCCUAGCUGGUCUGAGAGGAUGACCAGCCACACUGGAACUGAGACACGGUCCAGACUCCUACGGGAGGCAGCAGUGGGGAAUAUUGCACAAUGGGCGCAAGCCUGAUGCAGCCAUGCCGCGUGUGUGAAGAAGGCCUUCGGGUUGUAAAGCACUUUCAGCGGGGAGGAAGGCGUUAAGGUUAAUAACCUUGGCGAUUGACGUUACCCGCAGAAGAAGCACCGGCUAACUCCGUGCCAGCAGCCGCGGUAAUACGGAGGGUGCAAGCGUUAAUCGGAAUUACUGGGCGUAAAGCGCACGCAGGCGGUCUGUCAAGUCGGAUGUGAAAUCCCCGGGCUCAACCUGGGAACUGCAUUCGAAACUGGCAGGCUAGAGUCUUGUAGAGGGGGGUAGAAUUCCAGGUGUAGCGGUGAAAUGCGUAGAGAUCUGGAGGAAUACCGGUGGCGAAGGCGGCCCCCUGGACAAAGACUGACGCUCAGGUGCGAAAGCGUGGGGAGCAAACAGGAUUAGAUACCCUGGUAGUCCACGCCGUAAACGAUGUCGAUUUGGAGGUUGUGCCCUUGAGGCGUGGCUUCCGGAGCUAACGCGUUAAAUCGACCGCCUGGGGAGUACGGCCGCAAGGUUAAAACUCAAAUGAAUUGACGGGGGCCCGCACAAGCGGUGGAGCAUGUGGUUUAAUUCGAUGCAACGCGAAGAACCUUACCUGGUCUUGACAUCCACAGAACUUUCCAGAGAUGGAUUGGUGCCUUCGGGAACUGUGAGACAGGUGCUGCAUGGCUGUCGUCAGCUCGUGUUGUGAAAUGUUGGGUUAAGUCCCGCAACGAGCGCAACCCUUAUCUUUUGUUGCCAGCGGUUCGGCCGGGAACUCAAAGGAGACUGCCAGUGAUAAACUGGAGGAAGGUGGGGAUGACGUCAAGUCAUCAUGGCCCUUACGACCAGGGCUACACACGUGCUACAAUGGCAUAUACAAAGAGAAGCGACCUCGCGAGAGCAAGCGGACCUCAUAAAGUAUGUCGUAGUCCGGAUUGGAGUCUGCAACUCGACUCCAUGAAGUCGGAAUCGCUAGUAAUCGUAGAUCAGAAUGCUACGGUGAAUACGUUCCCGGGCCUUGUACACACCGCCCGUCACACCAUGGGAGUGGGUUGCA
Molecule: ribosomal RNA, 1419 nt
Filed under: uncultured bacterium
Lineage: Bacteria
Description: 16S ribosomal RNA
Rfam family: Bacterial small subunit ribosomal RNA
Source: RNAcentral